RNAcentral lists this ribosomal RNA (880 nucleotides) under uncultured fungus. RNAcentral describes it as "SSU rRNA". It matches the Rfam family "Eukaryotic small subunit ribosomal RNA", at positions 564 to 1471 of the family's 1831-position model. The record is from RNAcentral. Lineage: Eukaryota; Fungi.
GUGCCAGCAGCCGCGGUAAUUCCUGCUGCAAUAGCGUAUAUUAAAGUUGUUGUGGUUAAAAAGCUUGCAGUUGAACCUUGGGCCUGGCUGGCCGGUCCGCCUCACCGCGUGCACUGGUCCGGCCGGGCCUUUCCCUCUGUGGAACCCCAUACCCUUCACUGGGCGUGGCGGGGAAACAGGACAUUUACUUUGAAAAAAUUAGAGUGCUCCAGGCAGGCCUAUGCUCGAAUACAUUAGCAUGGAAUAAUAAAAUAGGACGCGCGGUUCUAUUUUGUUGGUUUAUAGGACCGCCGUAAUGAUUAAUAGGGACAGUCGGGGGCAUCAGUAUCCAACUGUCAGAGGUGAAAUUCUUGGAUCAGUUGAAGACUAACUACUGCGAAAGCAUUUGCCAAGGAUGUUUUCAUUAAUCAGGAACGAAAGUUAGGGGAUCGAAGACGAUCAGAUACCGUCGUAGUCUUAACCAUAAACUAUGCCGACUAGGGAUCGGACGGUGUUAUUCAUGACCCGUUCGGCACCUUACGAGAAAUCAAAGUGCUUGGGCUCCAGGGGGAGUAUGGUCGCAAGGCUGAAACUUAAAGAAAUUGACGGAAGGGCACCACCAGGGGUGGAGCCUGCGGCUUAAUUUGACUCAACACGGGGAAACUCACCAGGUCCAGACACAAUAAGGAUUGACAGAUUGAGAGCUCUUUCUUGAUUUUGUGGGUGGUGGUGCAUGGGCCGUUCUUAGUUGGUGGGGUGACUUGUCUGCUUAAUUGCGAUAACGAACGAGACCUUAACCUGCUAAAUAGCCCGCAUUGCUCCGGCAGUGCGCUGGCUUCUUAGAGGGACUUUCGGCUCAAGCCGAAGGAAGUUUGAGGGCAUUAACAGGUCUUGUGAUGGC